CUACGGGACGCAGCAGUGAGGAAUUUUGUGCAAUGGGGGAAACCCUGACGCAGCAACGCCGCGUGAGCGAAGAAGGCCUUCGGGUCGUAAAGCUCUGUCAAGUGGGAAAAAAAUUCUUUGAUGAACAGUCAAAGGACUUGAUGGUACCACUGGAGGAAGCACCGGCUAACUCCGUGCCAGCAGCCGCGGUAAUACGGAGGGUGCAAGCGUUGUUCGGAAUUACUGGGCGUAAAGAGCGUGUAGGCGGUUUGACAAGUCAGAUGUGAAAGCCCCGGGCUCAACCCGGGAAGUGCAUUUGAAACUGUUUCACUAGAGUAUGGGAGAGGAGAUUGGAAUUCCUGGUGUAGAGGUGAAAUUCGUAGAUAUCAGGAGGAACACCCGUGGCGAAGGCGAUUCUCUGGACCAAUACUGACGCUGAGACGCGAAAGCGUGGGGAGCAAACAGGAUUAGAUACCCUAGUGGUC
This 464-nucleotide ribosomal RNA is filed under the name uncultured bacterium. RNAcentral describes it as "partial 16S ribosomal RNA". It matches the Rfam family "Bacterial small subunit ribosomal RNA", at positions 339 to 795 of the family's 1533-position model. The record is from RNAcentral.